RNAcentral lists this transfer RNA (69 nucleotides) under Stegodyphus mimosarum. It matches the Rfam family "tRNA". From Rfam's summary of the family: Transfer RNA (tRNA) molecules are approximately 80 nucleotides in length. Their secondary structure includes four short double-helical elements and three loops (D, anti-codon, and T loops). Further hydrogen bonds mediate the characteristic L-shaped molecular structure. tRNAs have two regions of fundamental functional importance: the anti-codon, which is responsible for specific mRNA codon recognition, and the 3' end, to which the tRNAs corresponding amino acid is attached (by aminoacyl-tRNA synthetases). tRNAs cope with the degeneracy of the genetic code in two manners: having more than one tRNA (with a specific anti-codon) for a particular amino acid; and 'wobble' base-pairing, i.e. permitting non-standard base-pairing at the 3rd anti-codon position. Lineage: Eukaryota; Metazoa; Arthropoda; Arachnida; Araneae; Eresidae. The record is from Rfam by way of RNAcentral.
GCCUUCGUGGUGUAGUGGUCAGCACGUUGACGUUUCCAGAGGUCCGUGGUUCGAGUCCCGGUGAGGGUG